AUUGAACGCUGGCGGCAUGCUUUACACAUGCAAGUCGAACGGCAGCGCGGGCUUCGGCCUGGCGGCGAGUGGCGAACGGGUGAGUAAUGCAUCGGAACGUGCCCAGCUGUGGGGGAUAGCCCGGCGAAAGCCGGAUUAAUACCCCAUAAGACCUGAGGGUCAACGCGGGGGACCGAAAGGCCUCGCGCCAUUGCAGCGGCCGAUGUCGGAUUAGCUAGUUGGUGGGGUAAAGGCUUACCAAGGCGACGAUCCGUAGCUGGUCUGAGAGGACGACCAGCCACACUGGGACUGAGACACGGCCCAGACUCCUACGGGAGGCAGCAGUGGGGAAUUUUGGCCCCUGGGGGCCGCCCUGAUCCCGCCCUGCCGCGUGCGGGAAGAAGGCCUUCGGGUUGUAAACCGCUUUUGUUCGGGAAGAAAUCCUCUGGGCUAAUACCCCGGGGGGAUGACGGUACCGGCCGAAUAAGCACCGGCUCCCUACGUG
RNAcentral lists this ribosomal RNA (484 nucleotides) under uncultured bacterium. RNAcentral's name for it is "partial 16S ribosomal RNA". It matches the Rfam family "Bacterial small subunit ribosomal RNA", at positions 28 to 507 of the family's 1533-position model. The record is from RNAcentral.